RNAcentral lists this ribosomal RNA (253 nucleotides) under uncultured bacterium. RNAcentral's name for it is "partial 16S ribosomal RNA". It matches the Rfam family "Bacterial small subunit ribosomal RNA", at positions 524 to 776 of the family's 1533-position model. The record is from RNAcentral.
UACGUAGGGUCCGAGCGUUGUCCGGAAUUAUUGGGCGUAAAGGGCUCGUAGGCGGUUUGUCGCGUCGGGAGUGAAAACACGGGGCUUAACCCCGUGCCUGCUUCCGAUACGGGCAGACUAGAGGUAUGCAGGGGAGAACGGAAUUCCUGGUGUAGUGGUGAAAUGCGCAGAUAUCAGGAGGAACACCGGUGGCGAAGGCGGUUCUCUGGGCAUUACCUGACGCUGAGGAGCGAAAGUGUGGGGAGCGAACAGG